RNAcentral lists this ribosomal RNA (427 nucleotides) under uncultured bacterium. RNAcentral describes it as "partial 16S ribosomal RNA". It matches the Rfam family "Bacterial small subunit ribosomal RNA", at positions 355 to 774 of the family's 1533-position model. The record is from RNAcentral.
UGGGGAAUAUUGCACAAUGGGCGCAAGCCUGAUGCAGCCAUGCCGCGUGUAUGAAGAAGGCCUUCGGGUUGUAAAGUACUCUCAGCGGGGAGGAAGGUGUUGAGGUUAAUAACCUCAGCAAUUGACGUUACCCGCAGAAGAAGCACCGGCUAACUCCGUGCCAGCAGCCGCGGUAAUACGGAGGGUGCAAGCGUUAAUCGGAAUUACUGGGCGUAAAGCGCACGCAGGCGGUCUGUCAAGUCGGAUGUGAAAUCCCCGGGCUCAACCUGGGAACUGCAUUCGAAACUGGCAGGCUAGAGUCUUGUAGAGGGGGGUAGAAUUCCAGGUGUAGCGGUGAAAUGCGUAGAGAUCUGGAGGAAUACCGGUGGCGAAGGCGGCCCCCUGGACAAAGACUGACGCUCAGGUGCGAAAGCGUGGGGAGCAAACA